AGUGAACGCUGGCGGUAGGCCUAACACAUGCAAGUCGAACGGCAGCACAGUAAGAGCUUGCUCUUACGGGUGGCGAGUGGCGGACGGGUGAGGAAUACAUCGGAAUCUACUUUUUCGUGAGGGAUAACGUAGGGAAACUUACGCUAAUACCGCAUACGACCUACGGGUGAAAGCAGGGGAUCUUCGGACCUUGCGCGAUUGAAUGAGCCGAUGUCGGAUUAGCUAGUUGGCGGGGUAAAGGCCCACCAAGGCGACGAUCCGUAGCUGGUCUGAGAGGAUGAUCAGCCACACUGGAACUGAGACACGGUCCAGACUCCUACGGGAGGCAGCAGUGGGGAAUAUUGGACAAAGGGCGCAAGCCUGAUCCAGCCAUACCGCGUGGGUGAAGAAGGCCUUCGGGUUGUAAAGCCCUUUUGUUGGGAAAGAAAAGCAGCAGGUUAAUACCCCGCUGUUCUGACGGUACCCAAAGAAUAAGCACCGGCUAACUUCGUG
This 492-nucleotide ribosomal RNA is filed under the name uncultured bacterium. Its description in RNAcentral is "partial 16S ribosomal RNA". It matches the Rfam family "Bacterial small subunit ribosomal RNA", at positions 29 to 507 of the family's 1533-position model. The record is from RNAcentral.